UUCCGGUUGAUCCUGCCGGAGGCUACCGCUAUUGGAGUUCGAUUAAGCCAUGCGAGUCGUGAGUCUUAGGGACUCGGCGUACCGCUCAGUAACACGUGGGUAACCUGCCCUAUGCUGGGGAAUAACCUCGGGAAACUGAGAAUAAUACCCCAUAGUUCACCACACCUGGAACGGUGGGUGGAUGAAAGCUCCGGCGGCAUAGGAUGGGCCUGCGGCGUAUCAGGUUGUAGGGGGUGUAAUGUACCCUCUAGCCAUCUACGCGUACGGGUGUUGAGAGACAUCGCCCGGAGAUGGAUUCUGAGACACGAAUCCAGACCCUACGGGGUGCAGCAGGCACGAAAACUUGGCAAUGCGAGCAAUCGUGACCAGGGAACUCCAAGUGCAUCGGGUAAGACCGACGCUUUUCUUGACUCUUCAAAGGUCUUGGAAUAAGGGGUGGGUAAGGACGGUGCCAGCCGCCGCGGUAAUACCGGCGCCUCAAGUGGUAGUCGCUUUUAUUGGGCCUAAAACGUCCGUAGCCGGUUUGGUACAUUCGUGGGUAAAUCAAGACGCUCAACGUCUUGAAUUCCGCGAGCACGGCCAGACUUGGGACCGGGUGAGGUGUGGGGUACUCUCAGGGUAGGGGUAAAAUCCUGUCAUCCUGAGAGGACCACCUGUUGCGAAGGCGCCACACUAGAACGGAUCCGACGGUCAGGGACGAAGCCUAGGGGCACGAACCGGAUUAGAUACUCGGGUAGUCCUAGGUGUAAACGCUGUGGACUUGAUGUUGGGAGUGCUCCGAGCGCCCUCAGUGUCGAAGCGAAGGUGAUAAGUCCACUGCCUGGGGAGUACGGUCGCAAGGCUGAAACUUAAAGGAAUUGGCGGGGGAGCACUGCAACCUGAGGAUUGUGCGGUUUAAUUGGAUUCAACGCCGGAA
RNAcentral lists this ribosomal RNA (916 nucleotides) under uncultured archaeon. Its description in RNAcentral is "bacterial SSU rRNA". It matches the Rfam family "Archaeal small subunit ribosomal RNA", at positions 1 to 923 of the family's 1478-position model. The record is from RNAcentral.